UACAGAGGGGGCAAGCGUUAUUCGGAAUUAUUGGGCGUAAAGGGCGCGUAGGCGGCUUGGCAAGUGGAUGGUGAAAUCCCUCGGCUUAACCGAGGAACUGCCGUCCAAACUGCUUUGCUUGAGGCCGGGAGAGGUGAGUGGAAUUCACAGUGUAGCGGUGAAAUGCGUAGAUAUUGGGAGGAACACCAGUGGCGAAGGCGGCUCACUGGACCGGUUCUGACGCUGAAGCGCGAAAGCGUGGGGAGCAAACGGG
This 253-nucleotide ribosomal RNA is filed under the name uncultured bacterium. RNAcentral's name for it is "partial 16S ribosomal RNA". It matches the Rfam family "Bacterial small subunit ribosomal RNA", at positions 524 to 776 of the family's 1533-position model. The record is from RNAcentral.